Molecule: RNase P RNA, 414 nt
Filed under: Sphingomonadaceae bacterium
Lineage: Bacteria; Pseudomonadati; Pseudomonadota; Alphaproteobacteria; Sphingomonadales; Sphingomonadaceae
Description: RNase P RNA component class A
Rfam family: Bacterial RNase P class A
About the family: Ribonuclease P (RNase P) is a ubiquitous endoribonuclease, found in archaea, bacteria and eukarya as well as chloroplasts and mitochondria. Its best characterised activity is the generation of mature 5'-ends of tRNAs by cleaving the 5'-leader elements of precursor-tRNAs.
Source: RNAcentral
CCAGGGGGCCGGGCAGCCGCGAUACCGCAAGGUACCGAGGAAAGUCCGGGCUCCACGAAGCAAGGGUGGCGGGUAACGCCCGCCCGGCGCAAGUCGAGGGAAAGUGCCACAGAGAGUAUACCGCCGAUGGCGCCUAAAGCGCACAGGCAAGGGUGAAAGGGUGCGGUAAAGGCGCACCGGGGGGCUGGCAACAGUCCCCGCAUGGCAAACCCCACCCGGAGCAAGGCCGAAUAGGGGCGGCGCGCUGAGGGCUUCGGCUCAAGGCAGGUCUGUUUCGGACCCGACCGCCCGGGUUGGCUGCUUGAGCUGCGGAGCAAUCCGCAGCCCAGACGAAUGGCUGCCCCUGCCGAUACGGUCCGGCAUGUCCGGAUACCGUCGGCGGGACAGAACCCGGCUUACAGGCCCCCUGGCACC